ACGGCGGGAGUAACUAUGACUCUCUUAAGGUAGCCAAAUGCCUCGUCAUUUAAUUGGUGACGCGCAUGAAUGGAGCAACGAGAUUCCUACUGUCCCUACUUACAAUUUUGUGAAACCACUAUACAAGGGAACGGGCUUGUUAUUUAUCAGCGGGGAAAGAAGACCCUGUUGAGCUUGACUUUAGUAUGUUCUAAUAAUUAUUCGAUAUAUUGUAGAGAGGUGGGAGAUUAUUUGUGAAACCACUAGUAUGUUUGAAUAAUUAUUUAUUUUGUUGAAUAUAUGGGGAGUUUGGCUGGGGCGGUACAGCUGUUAAAAAGUAACACAGCUGUCCUAAGGUAGAUGAAUGAUGGAUGGUAACCAUCAGUUUAUUAUAAGGGAAUGAAUCUGCUUUAGUUUAUACAUAUGACUGUAUUUAGUAGGGAAACCUUGGCCUAGCGAUCCCAAUUACAUUCAUUAUGUAUUGGGUGAUUGAAAAGUUACCACAGGGCCCUCCACAAUGAGAGCGUCCACGUCGCGGAGGGUGGGACUGGGGUUUUAUAACUACAGGUGCGAAUCUCAUAAGUCUUACCACUACCUUCUGGCUGCUGGCAUGGU
This 594-nucleotide non-coding RNA is filed under the name Vairimorpha ceranae BRL01. RNAcentral describes it as "Nosema ceranae BRL01 Eukaryotic large subunit ribosomal RNA". It matches the Rfam family "Eukaryotic large subunit ribosomal RNA", at positions 2250 to 3020 of the family's 3401-position model. The record is from Rfam by way of RNAcentral. Lineage: Eukaryota; Fungi; Microsporidia; Nosematidae.